UCGCGAGGCGCCCUUCGACCAGCAGCGCCCGGGGCGGGCGAGUAUAAAUGGAGCGGUGGCUCCCCCGGCCGCCUCUCUCCGCCCCGGGUCGCCGCAGCCUCCGUCGCUUUCGGGCCCUAGCAGCCUGAAGGAAAAACAGGAAAAGAUAAAAAAAAUCCGAAAAUGCUUUAAAACCUAAAAAAAAAAAACAAAAACCGAGAGAGAGAGAGAAAGAAAAAAGCGCAUCCUCCUCGGAGAGCCCGCGGGGAAGUCACUUCUGCACGCUUCCGGCCUGCCCGCGCCCGCCGCCGCACCUUGGCGUCCGUCGGUCCGGUGGUGAGCCGCCCGCCCGCGUCCACGCGCCUCCGCUCCGUCCGCCCCCGCGCCGCGUGGCAGCCCCGCGCCCGCCGCCCUCGCCCCCCGCGCGCCGGCCCCGGGCGCACCACGUGUCCGCGCUGCCCUUCGCCGGCCCGGCGUGGGAGGAGGCUGCGCGCCCGGCCCCCGGGGCUUGCCGAGUCGGCGCCGACCAAGAUUUGGUUUCCCUCUUGCCCUGGCUGCUGUAAUCUUAAACCGCCGGGAGCCCGAGGCCUAUAUUUAUAGAGAAACCCGUGUCCCGGAGGCCGCCGUGGGCACCAUUUGGUUGCCUCUUGGAGAAUUUUUAUAAUUUGGAGGGGAGUCCCUGUUUUAAUACGUUAUUUUUUUUUUUUCUCCUUCGAAAUUUGGAGCUUCAGACCAGGACAGCUGCAAAUUACAAACUCCCAGAGAGGGCCAUAUUGUUUUUGAGAGCCUUUUGUCUGCGGUUUUGCAGUCUCGAACGAGCUGUCCCUGAACUCCUCCUCCCGGUCCUCCGUGUCUCCGAGCCUGCUCCGGCGUCUCUUAGCUUCACUCUGCCACCUGUGAGCCGCGGCGCGGGCCACGGCUCCGAGAAGAGCCCCUUUUGUCCUGUGUGGUCCCUAUAAGAAGUUCUCCUGGCGGGGCUCGGGGUGGUGGGGGCUGGGGAGAUGAACGCUGCGGCCAGCAGCUACCCCAUGGCCUCCCUCUACGUGGGUGACCUGCACUCGGACGUCACCGAGGCCAUGCUGUAUGAAAAGUUCAGUCCUGCGGGGCCUGUGCUGUCCAUCCGGGUCUGCCGCGAUAUGAUCACCCGCCGCUCCCUGGGUUAUGCCUACGUCAACUUCCAGCAGCCGGCUGACGCUGAGCGGGCCUUGGAUACCAUGAACUUUGAUGUGAUUAAGGGAAAGCCAAUCCGUAUCAUGUGGUCUCAGAGGGAUCCCUCUUUGAGAAAAUCUGGUGUGGGAAACGUCUUCAUCAAGAAUCUGGACAAAUCUAUAGAUAACAAGGCACUUUAUGAUACUUUUUCUGCUUUUGGAAACAUUCUGUCUUGCAAGGUGGUGUGUGAUGAGAACGGCUCUAAGGGUUAUGCCUUUGUCCACUUCGAGACGCAAGAGGCUGCUGACAAGGCCAUCGAGAAGAUGAACGGCAUGCUCCUCAAUGACCGCAAAGUGUUUGUGGGCAGAUUCAAGUCUCGAAAAGAGCGGGAAGCUGAGCUUGGAGCCAAAGCCAAGGAGUUCACCAAUGUUUAUAUCAAAAACUUUGGGGAAGAGGUGGAUGAUGAGAGUCUGAAAGAGCUAUUUAGCCAGUUUGGUAAGACCCUAAGUGUCAAGGUGAUGAGAGAUCCCAGUGGGAAAUCCAAAGGCUUUGGCUUUGUGAGUUACGAAAAACACGAGGAUGCCAAUAAGGCUGUGGAAGAGAUGAAUGGAAAAGAAAUCAGUGGGAAAGUGAUUUUUGUAGGCCGUGCCCAGAAGAAAGUGGAACGGCAGGCUGAGUUAAAGCGGAAAUUUGAACAGCUGAAACAAGAGAGAAUUAGUCGGUAUCAGGGGGUGAAUCUCUACAUUAAGAACUUGGAUGACACCAUUGAUGAUGAGAAGUUAAGGAAAGAGUUUUCUCCUUUUGGAUCAAUCACCAGUGCUAAGGUAAUGUUGGAGGAUGGGAGAAGCAAAGGGUUUGGCUUUGUCUGCUUCUCAUCUCCUGAAGAGGCGACCAAAGCAGUCACCGAGAUGAACGGACGCAUCGUGGGCUCCAAGCCACUAUAUGUCGCCCUGGCCCAGAGGAAGGAAGAGCGAAAGGCUCACCUGACCAACCAGUACAUGCAGCGGGUGGCUGGAAUGCGAGCACUCCCUGCCAAUGCCAUCUUAAAUCAGUUCCAGCCUGCAGCCGGUGGUUACUUCGUGCCAGCAGUCCCACAGGCCCAGGGAAGACCUCCAUAUUACACACCCAACCAGUUAGCACAGAUGAGGCCUAACCCCCGCUGGCAGCAAGGUGGGAGACCUCAAGGCUUCCAAGGAAUGCCAAGUGCUAUACGCCAGUCUGGGCCUCGUCCCGCUCUUCGCCAUCUGGCUCCAACUGGUAAUGCUCCGGCCUCUCGUGGCCUCCCUACUACCGCUCAGAGAGUCGGGUCUGAGUGCCCGGACCGCUUGGCUAUGGACUUUGGUGGGGCUGGUGCCGCCCAGCAAGGGCUGACUGACAGCUGCCAGUCUGGAGGUGUUCCCCCAGCCGUGCAGACCUUAGCGCCUCGUGCUGCUGUUGCUGCUGCUGCCCCUCGGGCUGUCGCACCUUACAAAUAUGCCUCCAGUGUCCGCAGCCCUCACCCUGCCAUCCAGCCCCUGCAGGCACCGCAGCCUGCGGUCCAUGUGCAGGGGCAGGAGCCCCUGACCGCCUCCAUGCUGGCCGCAGCGCCCCCCCAGGAGCAGAAGCAGAUGCUGGGAGAACGUUUGUUCCCGCUCAUCCAAACCAUGCAUUCAAACCUGGCUGGGAAAAUCACGGGCAUGCUGUUGGAGAUUGACAACUCUGAGCUGCUGCACAUGCUCGAGUCCCCCGAGUCGCUCCGCUCCAAGGUGGAUGAAGCUGUGGCGGUUCUGCAGGCUCAUCAUGCCAAGAAAGAAGCUGCCCAGAAGGUGGGCGCUGUUGCCGCUGCUACCUCUUAGCCAAGGAAGAACCGUAUGUUUGGCUGUUUUUGUUUUCUGCAAUGGCUUUGACUUGUGACAAUCUUCCUAAAAGAUUACUUAGAGCCACUAUAACCCGGAUUCAAAAGCCAAAUAACCCCUCCUGGAAUUCAGCUCAAGGUUUGAAGAUUCCUAGCGUGUCCUAUGGACCUCAACACCAAGAACCACAAAUUGGAAAUUUAAUAGGUCAUUUUGUAUCAAAAGGUCAAUUAUGAAGCACCUAGAAUUUUUCAAUUAAAAGAAUAUAUUCUCUGGGUUCUGCUAUGGCCCAGACAGUGUUAACUUUUUUUUUCUAUUGUGGGUUUUGAUUUUUUCCCCCCGAAAUUGGUUUUAUUUGAUGUACCCAAGUCUUAAGUUUCUCAAUAAAGAAAAAAAUCUCCAUAAAA
RNA transcript from Mirounga angustirostris (Northern elephant seal), 3367 nucleotides. It is a transcript of the gene named poly(A) binding protein cytoplasmic 4, with no coding region annotated. The transcript has 16 exons. NCBI's taxonomy places the organism in Eukaryota, Metazoa, Chordata, Mammalia, Carnivora, Phocidae. The record is from RefSeq and is a predicted model, not a curated record.